GUGCCUACGGGGGGCAGCAGUAAGGGAUAUUGGUCAAUGGGGGAAAUCCUGAACCAGCAACGCCGCGUGAGGGAAGACGGUUUUCGGAUUGUAAACCUCUGUCCUCUGUGAAGAUGAUGACGGUAGCAGAGGAGGAAGCUCCGGCUAACUACGUGCCAGCAGCCGCGGUAAUACGUAGGGAGCGAGCGUUGUCCGGAUUUACUGGGUGUAAAGGGUGCGCAGGCGGCUCUGCAAGUCAGGCGUGAAAGCUAGGGGCUCAACCCCUAAACUGCGCUUGAAACUGUGGAGCUUGAGUGAAGUAGAGG
Molecule: ribosomal RNA, 305 nt
Filed under: uncultured bacterium
Lineage: Bacteria
Description: bacterial SSU rRNA
Rfam family: Bacterial small subunit ribosomal RNA
Source: RNAcentral